GCACUUGGUCGGAAACCAAGGCACUAGAAGGAG
Non-coding RNA from Eggerthella sp. CAG:298, 33 nucleotides. NCBI's taxonomy places the organism in Bacteria, Bacillati, Actinomycetota, Coriobacteriia, Eggerthellales, Eggerthellaceae. The record is from Rfam.